AAAGUCGUAACAAGGUUUCCGUAGGUGAACCUGCGGAAGGAUCAUUAAUGAAUCGAUAGGACGCUCUUUUUAGAGGUCCGACCCCUUCAUUUUCUUACACUGUGCACACACUUCUUUUCACACAUUUUAACACAUCAGUAUAAGAAUGUAUCAGUCUCUUAAUUGAGCAUAAAAUAAAUAAAACUUUCAGCAACGGAUCUCUUGGCUCUC
Molecule: unclassified non-coding RNA, 210 nt
Filed under: Basidiomycota sp.
Lineage: Eukaryota; Fungi; Basidiomycota
Description: partial contains small subunit ribosomal RNA, internal transcribed spacer 1, and 5.8S ribosomal RNA
Rfam family: Eukaryotic small subunit ribosomal RNA (bases 1-47)
Source: RNAcentral